Molecule: ribosomal RNA, 261 nt
Filed under: Chloropicon mariensis
Lineage: Eukaryota; Viridiplantae; Chlorophyta; Chloropicophyceae; Chloropicales; Chloropicaceae
Description: partial Bacterial large subunit ribosomal RNA
Rfam family: Bacterial large subunit ribosomal RNA
Source: RNAcentral
CGAAAUGUUUUUAGGAACAGCGUUGCAUUAAUUAGAGUUUAUGAGAGGUAGAGCUACUGAUUGGGCUAGGGGGCUUCACCGCCUACCAAACCCUGACAAACUCCGAAUGCUCAUAAAUGCUAUGCAGCAGUGAGGCUGCGGGCGCUAAGGUCCGUGGCCGAGAGGGAAAUAACCCAGAAUAGCAGCUAAGGUCCCCAAUACAUGGUUAAGUUGGAAAAACGAGGUGGCGUUUCUAUAACAGCCAGGAUGUUGGCUUGGAAG